Pecten maximus is the source of this 394-nucleotide long non-coding RNA. RefSeq lists it as uncharacterized. The transcript has 2 exons. NCBI's taxonomy places the organism in Eukaryota, Metazoa, Mollusca, Bivalvia, Pectinida, Pectinidae. The record is from RefSeq and is a predicted model, not a curated record.
UGUUCCAUCAGUGAUUGAUAAUAAAAAGUGCACUACUUGCUACAACUUUCUAUAAAAUAUAAUACCGCGGUACAUAGUCCAUUAUUGCGAUUAUUAAAACGAAAUUAACAGUCCGGAUAAUACAUAGCGCCUAUCCCGCAGCGGGCAAGCGCAUGCGCAUUGUAAGUACAAUUUGAAAUCCAGUGUUUACAAUGCCACGGAAGACGGGAAGCAGAGAAGAAAGUUAACAGUUUCUGUCCUUUCUCUGAAGAAGGAUGCACUGAAAACCAUUCACAGACUACAUGUACAGAUGUCCUAAUAAUUCAAAGUAUGGCCCAGAACCAGUAGACGGAGAUGCCGACCGCUAACUUCACAAGUUUAAAAAAUAAAUCAAUAAAGUAUGCAUUGAAAAAUA